CAGAUAGGCGAAAAAGCUUGCUUGGGAAUGAAUCUGUGCUACGCUCGUCAUGAAGAGAAAAAACAAAAGGAAAUCUUUCUUUUCAAGGAGAACGAGUUCACUGAUCUGAUGCAUAAUUUCAAUGCGUGUCUUCUGGGUGACAUGCUUCCAUUGGAAGCUUCAGUAGUACAAGGAGCCAUCCGCCAUUUUCUAAAGACUGUCACUUUGGUUCCGUCAAGCUAAUAAAAUUGAUUCUUC
Rhipicephalus sanguineus (brown dog tick) is the source of this 237-nucleotide long non-coding RNA. RefSeq lists it as uncharacterized. The transcript is spliced from 3 exons. NCBI's taxonomy places the organism in Eukaryota, Metazoa, Arthropoda, Arachnida, Ixodida, Ixodidae. The record is from RefSeq and is a predicted model, not a curated record.